GGCGGGUUAGCGUAAUGGUUAACGCGUCAGUUUCCGGUUCUAUUACAACCAGCUGAAGAUUCCGGGUUCGAGUCCCGGGCCUGUCG
Molecule: non-coding RNA, 86 nt
Organism: Termitomyces sp. Mi166#008
Lineage: Eukaryota; Fungi; Basidiomycota; Agaricomycetes; Agaricales; Lyophyllaceae
Source: the annotation of a GenBank genome assembly